This 520-nucleotide ribosomal RNA is filed under the name uncultured Glomus. RNAcentral describes it as "SSU rRNA". It matches the Rfam family "Eukaryotic small subunit ribosomal RNA", at positions 569 to 1089 of the family's 1831-position model. The record is from RNAcentral. Lineage: Eukaryota; Fungi; Glomeromycota; Glomeromycetes; Glomerales; Glomeraceae.
AGCAGCCGCGGUAAUUCCAGCUCCAAUAGCGUAUAUUAAAGUUGCUGCAGUUAAAAAGCUCGUAGUUGAAUUUCGGGAUCGAUAUAUCGGUCGUGCCUCGGUACGUACUGGUAUUUUCGGUUUCUCCCUUCUGACGAACCUUGAUGUCAUUAAUUUGGUGUCUUGGGGAAUCAGGACUGUUACUUUGAAAAAAUUUAGAGUGUUUAAAGCAGGCUCACGCUUGAAUACAUUAGCAUGGAAUAAUGAAAUAGGACGUUUGAUUCUAUUUUGUUGGUUUCUAGGAUCGACGUAAUGAUUAAUAGGGAUAGUUGGGGGCGAUUAGUAUUCAAUUGUCAGAGGUGAAAUUCUUGGAUUUAUUGAAGACUAACUACUGCGAAAGCAUUUGCCAAGAAUGUUUUCAUUAAUCAAGAACGAAAGUUAGGGGAUCGAAGACGAUCAGAUACCGUCGUAGUCUUAACCAUAAACUAUGCCGACUAGGGAUCGGAUGAUGUUAAUUUUUUAAUGACUCAUUCGGCGCCUU